Non-coding RNA from Salmo salar (Atlantic salmon), 517 nucleotides. The record is from RefSeq and is a predicted model, not a curated record. NCBI's taxonomy places the organism in Eukaryota, Metazoa, Chordata, Actinopteri, Salmoniformes, Salmonidae.
GUGAUGUAGGAGGACUUUCUUCACUACCAGAGCCAUGGACAGGACUCUCUCCUGUAGAGAUAGUGAAGUGGCCGACAGUCCGAGAAGGCAGUGAAGUGGCCGACAGUCCGAGAAGGCAGGGAAGUGGCCGACAGUCCGAGAAGGCAGGGAAGUGGCCGACAGUCCGAGAAGGCAGGGAAGUGGCCGACAGUCCGAGAAGGCAGGGAAGUGGCCGACAGUCCGAGAAGGCAGGGAAGUGGCCGACAGUCCGAGAAGGCAGGGAAGUGGCCGACAGUCCGAGAAGGCAGGGAAGUGGCCGACAGUCCGAGAAGGCAGUGAAGUGGCCGACAGUCCGAGAAGGCAGUGUGAGGUGGUACUUCAGAGUGGCAGGCUGGGCGAACCUCCUCCCACACAGGGCACAGAAGUACGGCUUCUCCCCUGUAUGCACCAUCUGGUGUCUCUUCAGGACGUCCGCCUGGCUGAACCGUCUCCCACAGUCAGGGCAGGUGUAUGGCUUCUCACCUGAUAGAUGGAUGGA